Long non-coding RNA from Pseudophryne corroboree (corroboree frog), 577 nucleotides. RefSeq lists it as uncharacterized. The transcript is spliced from 3 exons. The record is from RefSeq and is a predicted model, not a curated record. Lineage: Eukaryota; Metazoa; Chordata; Amphibia; Anura; Myobatrachidae.
GAAAAUCUAGAAGACUCAUUACAUGUAGGGGUACAAGAACAUUGUGCUUUCUUCCCGUUGCUGGGAGAUUCUAUUUUACCUUUAAGGGUCCCCGCUAUUAACCAUGGAAGAAGAACGUCCCAAAGAACUUAUUACGUGCAAGAACCAUAAGUCCUGAGGGAAGCUAGAAGAUCUGACAAGGAGAAAGACAGAUUCACAUUACAGGCCUGAAUAUAGACGGGAUGUGGUACGCAUAUUAUUAUUUAAUUCUCACUUGGAAACCACCAACACAGAAAAGGCGCUGGGAUAUAUAGAUAUAUUUAAAAAAAAAAAAAAAAAUAUAUAUAUAUAUAUAAUAUUUUUUUUUUUUUUUUUUAAGGUAAAAUCACUUUGGAUAGGGUUAAAUUCAUGUUCUUCACCUAGUUCACUCAUAAACCCCCAAACCUUCCCCCCCCCCCCCCUUUCCCCGGCAAUUUUUGCGCGGUUCCUGGCAAAAUAAAUAGUUAAGUGGUUAAAGAUCUGUAAAACUCUGCAUUAAUACAGUUAUGUGUUUUGUUUUUAGUGGUGUUUUUUUUUUUUUAAUGUUCUCUGUAUGCUC